Ciona intestinalis (vase tunicate) is the source of this 725-nucleotide non-coding RNA. NCBI's taxonomy places the organism in Eukaryota, Metazoa, Chordata, Ascidiacea, Phlebobranchia, Cionidae. The record is from RefSeq and is a predicted model, not a curated record.
AACAUGAUUUAGUCAAACCUAGUUCGAAACGAAGAUAAAAUCAUUUUUGUUUCUUUUUUUAACUCGUAGUUUUAGCUUGAAAUUUUGAGUUGGAUUUUAGUUGCAAGCUUGCAUCUCACGUGGCGGUCGUUGGUUUGAAUGUGUUGGUAUAUGAUGUUGUGUUGAUGUUGAAUUUCUAGUUCGGUUUUGGUUUUUGGAAGUUCCAAUUUUGUUCUUGCACAUUCUGCUGUGCUUUGGGGGUUGCCGGGUUGGCCUUUGGUGUUAUUGGUCGUUUAUUGUUACUUGUUGUUGGCCGUAGUUGGCGUUUCAUUUGUUUAUUAAUUUGAUUGUUGACCGGUCCGGUUCCAUUUGCUAUUGUAUGUUUCUAAUUUUAUAUUUACUGGGUAGACUGGGGCAAUUUAACAAUUUAGUUUCAGGUACAGGUUUAAUGACGUCAGGAUAACUGCGGUCCUGGAAAACUUGUGUUUUUGGAAACGUCAACAUAAGACAAGAAAGAAGCAAAGAUGGAAUUGUAUCCGGGUCCUGACGACGAAGAGGACGAAGAGGACGAAGAGGAGUGGAUGGAACACAAGCUUCAACACCAGUACGGAUCCUGAACGAGAAGUCCAGAUGCUACAACCUGACGAUGAUCUGGUUUAUAAAGAGUGUUAAUGUCGUUGUUCGCUUUAUUUUUGUUGGUUGUAAUUGAAAUAAAAUUGAAUAAAAUUAUCCGAGAAAUAAAAUUA